UUGGAGGGCAAGUCUGGUGCCAGCAGCCGCGGUAAUUCCAGCUCCAAUAGCGUAUAUUAAAGUUGUUGCAGUUAAAAAGCUCGUAGUUGAACUUCGGGGUCUACCCAUUGGUCAGGCUUAAUUGUCUGCACUGGUGAGAUGGAUCUCUACCUUCUGAGGAACUUUCAUGCCAUUUAUUUGGUGUGAUGGGAAAUCAGGACUGUUACUUUGAAAAAAUUAGAGUGUUUAAAGCAGACUAUCGUCUGAAUACAUUAGCAUGGAAUAAUGAAAUAGGACGGACUGAUUCUAUUUCGUUGGUUUCUAGGAUCACCGUAAUGAUUAAUAGGGAUAGUUGGGGGCAUUAGUAUUCAAUUGUCAGAGGUGAAAUUCUUGGAUUUAUUGAAGACUAACUACUGCGAAAGCAUUUGCCAAGGAUGUUUUCAUUAAUCAAGAACGAAAGUUAGGGGAUCGAAGACGAUCAGAUACCGUCGUAGUCUUAACCAUAAACUAUGCCGACUAGGGAUCGGACGAAGUUAAUUUUAUAAUGACGCGUUCGCGCCUUACAGGAAAC
Molecule: ribosomal RNA, 550 nt
Filed under: uncultured Glomeromycotina
Lineage: Eukaryota; Fungi; Glomeromycota
Description: SSU rRNA
Rfam family: Eukaryotic small subunit ribosomal RNA
Source: RNAcentral